Molecule: ribosomal RNA, 1397 nt
Filed under: Staphylococcus aureus W83137
Lineage: Bacteria; Bacillati; Bacillota; Bacilli; Caryophanales; Staphylococcaceae
Description: bacterial LSU rRNA
Rfam family: Bacterial large subunit ribosomal RNA
Source: RNAcentral
UGAGUAUUAGGCAAAUCCGGUACUCGUUAAGGCUGAGCUGUGAUGGGGAGAAGACAUUGAGUCUUCGAGUCGUUGAUUUCACACUGCCGAGAAAAGCCUCUAGAUAGAAAAUAGGUGCCCGUACCGCAAACCGACACAGGUAGUCAAGAUGAGAAUUCUAAGGUGAGCGAGCGAACUCUCGUUAAGGAACUCGGCAAAAUGACCCCGUAACUUCGGGAGAAGGGGUGCUCUUUAGGGUUAACGCCCAGAAGAGCCGCAGUGAAUAGGCCCAAGCGACUGUUUAUCAAAAACACAGGUCUCUGCUAAACCGUAAGGUGAUGUAUAGGGGCUGACGCCUGCCCGGUGCUGGAAGGUUAAGAGGAGUGGUUAGCUUCUGCGAAGCUACGAAUCGAAGCCCCAGUAAACGGCGGCCGUAACUAUAACGGUCCUAAGGUAGCGAAAUUCCUUGUCGGGUAAGUUCCGACCCGCACGAAAGGCGUAACGAUUUGGGCACUGUCUCAACGAGAGACUCGGUGAAAUCAUAGUACCUGUGAAGAUGCAGGUUACCCGCGACAGGACGGAAAGACCCCGUGGAGCUUUACUGUAGCCUGAUAUUGAAAUUCGGCACAGCUUGUACAGGAUAGGUAGGAGCCUUUGAAACGUGAGCGCUAGCUUACGUGGAGGCGCUGGUGGGAUACUACCCUAGCUGUGUUGGCUUUCUAACCCGCACCACUUAUCGUGGUGGGAGACAGUGUCAGGCGGGCAGUUUGACUGGGGCGGUCGCCUCCUAAAAGGUAACGGAGGCGCUCAAAGGUUCCCUCAGAAUGGUUGGAAAUCAUUCAUAGAGUGUAAAGGCAUAAGGGAGCUUGACUGCGAGACCUACAAGUCGAGCAGGGUCGAAAGACGGACUUAGUGAUCCGGUGGUUCCGCAUGGAAGGGCCAUCGCUCAACGGAUAAAAGCUACCCCGGGGAUAACAGGCUUAUCUCCCCCAAGAGUUCACAUCGACGGGGAGGUUUGGCACCUCGAUGUCGGCUCAUCGCAUCCUGGGGCUGUAGUCGGUCCCAAGGGUUGGGCUGUUCGCCCAUUAAAGCGGUACGCGAGCUGGGUUCAGAACGUCGUGAGACAGUUCGGUCCCUAUCCGUCGUGGGCGUAGGAAAUUUGAGAGGAGCUGUCCUUAGUACGAGAGGACCGGGAUGGACAUACCUCUGGUGUACCAGUUGUCGUGCCAACGGCAUAGCUGGGUAGCUAUGUGUGGACGGGAUAAGUGCUGAAAGCAUCUAAGCAUGAAGCCCCCCUCAAGAUGAGAUUUCCCAACUUCGGUUAUAAGAUCCCUCAAAGAUGAUGAGGUUAAUAGGUUCGAGGUGGAAGCAUGGUGACAUGUGGAGCUGACGAAUACUAAUCGAUCGAAGACUUAAUC